This 4563-nucleotide unclassified non-coding RNA is filed under the name Leishmania donovani. RNAcentral describes it as "gene:LdHU3.36.2750(CDS-product:hypothetical_prote in_conserved)". Lineage: Eukaryota; Euglenozoa; Kinetoplastea; Trypanosomatida; Trypanosomatidae. The record is from RNAcentral.
CAACAUCACAGAAAGGGAAACUCAGUGGCACAAACAGUAAAGGAGGCAACAAAUGAGCGGCACGUCGCUGGACUUCUUGCUGUCGGAGAUUCUUAGCCCCGACAAUGUUCAACGCGCUGCGGCGGAAAAGGAGCUGGAGCGGCGGGGCCUCGAGGUGCCCGGGUUCUGCUUCUCUCUUGCUCGCCACUGCCGAACGCUCAUGAACAACCAGUCUUCGCACGCCGUCGCGCUAGUAGCUUUGUCUGUUCUAAAGCGCAGUGUGACGGCGUCGGAUCGCGCGGAGGAGCUUGAGCAGGUUGUGUCUUCGCUCCUUUCGGACCUGACCGACAUCACAGUCCUACCUGGUGGCUCUGCAGCAGCGAUGCGGCAGUGGUCAUCGACGGUAUGCACAACUGUACGGCGCCUUGCCGUCUUGUGCGCUUCACAAACCGCGGCACCAGCCGCCGGCGAGGCCACGACUGGUGCGAUCACGGCGCAGCUGCUCGGUGCCUUUGACCAGUACCCAAACGCUGACGCCAGUGGACUGCUGCCGGUUUUCAGCCAUGUGUGGCUGCUGCGAACCAUGUUUGAGGAGCCGGUACCAGACGUGAUGCACGCAUGGUGUGCCGAGCUAAUUUUGAAUUGUGCGCCGCCUCUCUUCGAAAUCCUCUGCGCUGGCGCAGCUGCAACGCUGAGCAUGGCGUCGUCCGACUGCUCUGCGUUCGCGGCAGAUUCACCGGAGGCCUACGCACGCUGCUCUCUCUCGACCCUCAUUGCCCAAACCCUAGCAGCCCUCUAUGAAUGGCAGUUUGCGUCUAGUGGGCGGAAGCACUUCCCUGCUGAGCUCAAGCAGCACUUCCUCUCAGCCUAUCCGCUCCUCCAGUCUUUUAUGUGCACCCCAUGCGCGCGCUGGCUGUCAGUGUGCGUCGGCGCAACCUCGUCUUCUACAAGCGCUCUUCCAUUUGUGCAGGCGCGCGCGGCCAACUUUGCCGCAGCGUCGCUGGCCGCGCUCGAGUACGUGUCGAGUGUACUGCAGUUGGGUGGGUGGUACAAGCGAUGCGUUUCGGCGCAGCUCUUUCAGGCGCUGCUGCAGUCAUUGGAAGCUGACGCAGCUUACUAUGGGGCCGCGCUCUGCGUCGACGGUGAGGAGGAGGCGGAGAGCCUUAUAGCCAGCGCUGGGUGGACUGGGUGGCCACACACGGGGAGUGGCGGCGGUGAACAGGGCGAUGGCGCUUCGCCACACAGCUGGACAACAGUGGUGCGCCGGCGCGCCACGCAGUGCUGGUCGCUCUUUCGGGACGCAGCUUUGCUGCCUUUCCUCAAGGUUGGCCUAGUGGAUGUUGUGGGCCACCAAUGCGGGCUACAGUACUACAAGCUGCUGCUGGCCUACGCUGUCCCCUCGCCUGUCGAUGUGGGGGCGUGGCUUCACGACCCAAACACGUUUUUGCGCGAGGAAGAGGAGCGCGAGGACGGAGUGAGGUGGACAACCCGUAACACCGUCGCGCAGCUCUACACAGAUAGCAUAGCAGCUCUUGGCCCACUUUUCCUGCACGCCUCUUUGGAGGACUUGCACGAACGCCUCUUAGCGCGCAUCCCAGACAACGACGGCAGGACGUGCGGUGAUGGACAGACUUCCCUCGCCUAUGAUGGCACGGUAAUGCUCACCGCAUCGCAGCAGCAGCGAGAGGCAGCCCUUUUCUUCAUGGAAACGGUACUUAAGCACCGGGCGAGGCAGUUGCGCGAGUGCGGCGCAGUCGACUUUACGCCACUUGCUACGCACUUGUGGAGCAAUGACGUGGCAAGCGCUUCGGCGCACCCUGGCUUGACGGCCCGGGCGCUCAUGCUGAUAACCGCCAUCGUGCGAUUCACUCACUCGACUCUCGCGGCCUCCGAACCGGCCGCCUCCGCAGACGCCGCUGCGGCAACGAACACCGAAGCGGCAUCCGAGGGCUUUAUGGCCACUGUUGUGGCGGACAGCAUACACGCAUUGUCACUCUUUACGGGGACAUCAAAGGAGCCCAUCGCGGUGCCGUUAUCCUCAUGCACGCCACUGGUCGCAGUGCUCCUCUGCCGAGUUCUGCAAAGCACGCUGCCUUAUUGGUCCGAUGUAAUGCUUGCGCAGCACUCUGCUGCGUGGCAGGUCUCACUACUGGCGCUUCUGUCCUCCGAGGCAGGCCUUACUGAUGACGCGUUGUACAAUACGGUGGAGCAGUUGGCGGAUCUUCUCAAGGUUGCGCGUGCCGCACGGGAAAAGGGCACUCAGUCCCACUACGGUAGAGUGAGCACGGCAGCUGCAGCUCCGCCGAUGCUCGACGCUCUCCCACGGACGGUGAUGGACUGCUGGCGCCGUCACGUAAGCGAUCCUAACCUCGCGGAUGCCGUGCUGGGUUUGCUGCGCUACGUCGUACGCGACGGCGAAAGCGGCGCAUCGCUUUUGCUGCAGGAGCUGCCAUGGGUCAACGCUGUCCUCAGUGGCUUUGUCGAGUCUACAGCAGAGCUGUGCGCUGUUCCGCACUUUCUGCGUCUGCUCAAGUGCUUGUUUGAGCAUGCCCCGGACGAAGUGGCGAACUGUGCUGCUGCCAUGAUGCUAGACAGUCUGUGCCAACUUCUCUUGUGUACCGAGGAGUCCGCGAUCCUUGGCGCGUCGAGCAGUUGCCUUGCCGCUCUGCUGCGUCGCUGUCUUGCAGUGCAGUCGGUGCAGGUGCGCGUUGUCGCGGCAACCAUGGAGGCUGCCAUGGCGGGUGGCGCUACUGCCGAUGAAGGCGGCCUCUCCGGUGCCGUCGGUACCACCGCGCGCUUGGCGGACGCUCCUCGCACCGUCUACCCCUUCGCCACCGUCAUCGUCGCUUUUGUCCUCCGCACGCUCGAUGGCCGCCGUGAUGAGGCGUCGCUGAUGGACGUGGGCGAUGCUCUCCUGACCAUUAUGCAGAAGUACACUAGCUUCUCCGAGGCGGAGCUGAUCCGUAUCAUCCACGCUACUGUGCGCCGACUUUCUAUCGUGCGCACCGAUACUGUUGCGCAGCAGUUACUGGCUCCUUUGGCCACCUUGAUGGUGCUUCAUCCUGCAGCUCUGCUGCGGACACUGGCGCAAGGGGGGUUUCUCGUGGAGACGAUGAGCCGUUGGCUGCCGCAAGUGGAGCACUUCUCGAAUUUGCGCGCCACCUUUGUUUCAUGCGAGGGGCUGCUCAAAAUGCUCUCGUACUUAUCUCAGCCAUCAUCGUCGCCGAUGCUGACGGCAGAGGAAGUACAGCAGCUGGCGCAGCAGCCGGUGACAUGCCGCUGGCUCCUGCCUGAGGAACUCACCGAGAGCAAGAAGGGUUCGCGUAAGGCGUCGCGCAAAGGCAGCAAAGGGGUCUCAGCCGCGGCAACGCGUCGUGUCAUUUUGUCCUCGCUCACCCGGGGGGCUUCGGUGGAGACGUCGCUCCCAUUGUACGCCGGGGUGCUCGUCGGCGUCGGUCGCGGUCUGCUGACGUUGCUGGCGGCUCCUCCUGCUGCUCUGUGUCGCGCCAGUCAAGCAGCUGGCGACACCGCGACGCCCGGAAACGGGAUCGGUGCGGGCGUUUUUCCGUUGGACGAGGAUGAUGACGACAGCAACGGACUUUUCCGUGGGGACAGCGCCGACGGCAGUGACCCCGAGGCAGAGGACACGUGGGAAGAGGACGUGGACAGCUCCUCCGACGACGAGACUGGAGGUGACGCACGGCAGUCGGAGGCGCCGGACAUCAACGCAUACUCGCCAGAGACGACGGAUCGACAACGGUUGCUGCGCCCAAUGGGUGAACAGAUGCUACCGUGGAUGCAGACACACGGCGGUGAAGUGGCAUCGUUUUUUACUCUGCAAGAGGCACAAACACUGACGUCUUUCUUCACCUCCUGUGCAGCGAGUGGUGGAUGUGGGCCCUCAGCGGCGUGAAGAUGACCUAAUCUGUCUCUGCGCACACUGUGAAGGAGAGGGGGGGGGCGAGGUAUGGUGAAGACGACAAGUCCCUCGACAUUUCCUCCACCGACCUGCUCUUUCAACUCUUUGUUGUUGCCGUGUUAUUGUAACAGACCUCAUCCACCGUGCGCAUCGCCGCGUCUUCAUCCCAUUUUACCUACCUCUCUCUUGCAAUGCAUCCACAUCACGAGUAACAGCUGCUUCGUGCCACCCAUAGGGAAGCACCGGCUAACCUAAGCAAGCAACUUAAGAACGAAACGAUACGAAAAGGAGGGUCGCUACCCCACCCCCAAGGACACACACACACACACACACACUGUGUGUGUGUGCAGCAAGAAAGGGGCUCGGUCAUUGCGUCUCUGUGCACAGCGGUUCUGCAGCUCUGCCACAGCGUGCGCUAGUCAAGGAUUGACGUUCAAAUAGUGAGUGGCUGCCGUUUUCGUCGUUUACUUUGUACGCGGCAACGCCGUCAGACUACUUGUUUCUCUUCUUCUCUCACCCCCUCGCCUUCCUGUCCUUUACUUGUCUUGCUUGUAUGGAAACAUGAACGUGCAUCCGUGCGCGUGUUUCUCCCACUUCCUCUUUGUGCCCUCCCCCUUCGUCGUGGCGUGCAACUUUCUUUUGUGGCGUCUGCGCCCUACAUCUAG